RNAcentral lists this ribosomal RNA (448 nucleotides) under uncultured bacterium. RNAcentral describes it as "bacterial SSU rRNA". It matches the Rfam family "Bacterial small subunit ribosomal RNA", at positions 29 to 524 of the family's 1533-position model. The record is from RNAcentral.
AACGAACGCUGGCGGCAUGCCUAACACAUGCAAGUCGAACGAGACCUUCGGGUCUAGUGGCGCACGGGUGCGUAACGCGUGGGAAUCUGCCCUUUGCUUCGGAAUAACAGUUAGAAAUGACUGCUAAUACCGGAUGAUGUCUUCGGACCAAAGAUUUAUCGGCAAAGGAUGAGCCCGCGUAGGAUUAGGUAGUUGGUGGGGUAAAGGCCUACCAAGCCGACGAUCCUUAGCUGGUCUGAGAGGAUGAUCAGCCACACUGGGACUGAGACACGGCCCAGACUCCUACGGGAGGCAGCAGUGGGGAAUAUUGGACAAUGGGCGAAAGCCUGAUCCAGCAAUGCCGCGUGAGUGAUGAAGGCCUCGGUCGUAAGCUCUUUUACCUAGGGAUGAUAAUGACAGUACCUGGAGAAUAAGCUCCGGCUAACUCCGUGCCAGCAGCCGCGGUAAU